UAUUUUAUAAUUAUUUUUUUAAUUCUCAAAAUUCAUUCUCUCCCUCUCAUCUCUCAUGUUCUUUCCUUUUCCUCUCUAUUCUCUCUUUUCCUACCAUCUUCUUCUCCUAAUUUCUUAUUAGAAAAAAUAAUGAUGAAUUAUAAAAAGAUUUCCCAAUAGAAAAUGGAGACAAAACUUUCAAUUACUCAUCAAUCGAAAGCUUGUACAAGAUUUUAUAUAUAUAAGAGAGAGAGAAGAAAAAAAUGGACUGCCUGGAUCAACCCAACACUGAAAAUGAUUUUAAGAUAAAAAUUAUUUAGUAAUUUGCAUCGAAUUUUGUUGAAGCAAAGAUCACCAUUUUUAUAACAUGAAUUAUUGGUAGCUAGCAUAGUAAAAAAUGAU
RNAcentral lists this unclassified non-coding RNA (381 nucleotides) under Hevea brasiliensis (rubber tree). The record is from RNAcentral. Lineage: Eukaryota; Viridiplantae; Streptophyta; Magnoliopsida; Malpighiales; Euphorbiaceae.